Molecule: ribosomal RNA, 541 nt
Filed under: Caulobacter sp.
Lineage: Bacteria; Pseudomonadati; Pseudomonadota; Alphaproteobacteria; Caulobacterales; Caulobacteraceae
Description: partial 23S ribosomal RNA
Rfam family: Bacterial large subunit ribosomal RNA
Source: RNAcentral
GAUCAAGCGCAUAAGGGCUUCUGACGGAUGCCUUGGCAUUGAGAGGCGAUGAAGGACGUGGCACGCUGCGAUAAGAGCCGGGGAGGCGCGAGCACCCUUUGAUCCGGCUAUCUCCGAAUGGGGAAACCCACCUUUACGGUCUGCCAAUUCGGUUCUGAUUUCGGUCAGAACCGGGUUUGGUUGAUCGUUGAAAGGUAUAAUGACCUGAAUACAUAGGGUCAUUAAGCAAACCCGGGGAACUGAAACAUCUCAGUACCCGGAGGAAAGGACAUCAACCGAGACUCCCGUAGUAGUGGCGAGCGAACCGGGACCAGGCCAGUGCUGUCGUGACAUAAAGCCGAACGAUCCUGGAAAGAUCGGCCAUAGCGGGUGAUAGCCCCGUAGGCGUCAAAUAGCGACAGACUCGAGUAGGGCGGGACACGUGAAAUCCUGUCUGAACAUGGGGGGACCACCCUCCAAGCCUAAGUACUCCUCGACGACCGAUAGUGAACAAGUACCGUGAGGGAAAGGUGAAAAGCACCCCGACAAGGGGAGUGAAAUA